This 292-nucleotide ribosomal RNA is filed under the name uncultured bacterium. Its description in RNAcentral is "partial 16S ribosomal RNA". It matches the Rfam family "Bacterial small subunit ribosomal RNA", at positions 505 to 796 of the family's 1533-position model. The record is from RNAcentral.
GUGUCAGCCGCCGCGGUAAUACGUAGGUUGCGAGCGUUGUCCGGAUUUACUGGGCGUAAAGCGCGCGCAGGCGGUUUCGAAAGUCCACGGUGAAAGCUCCCGGCCCAACUGGGAGAGGCCCGUGGAAACUCCGGAACUUGAAGGCAGGAGAGGCAGAUGGAAUUUCCGGUGUAGCGGUAAAAUGCGUAGAUACCGGAAGGAACACCAGUGGCGAAGGCGAUCUGCUGGCCUGUUCUUGACGCUCAGGCGCGAAAGCUAGGGGAGCGACCGGGAUUAGAUACCCCGGUAGUCC